AGUUGGUCCGAGUGCAGUGGUGUUUACAACUAAUGGAUCACAACUAGUUACAGAUUCCUUUGUUCCUUCUCCACUCCCAUUGCUUCACUUGACCAUCCUUUA
RNAcentral lists this Y RNA (102 nucleotides) under Prolemur simus (greater bamboo lemur). Its description in RNAcentral is "Y RNA (ENSPSMG00000016088.1)". It matches the Rfam family "Y RNA". From Rfam's summary of the family: Y RNAs are components of the Ro ribonucleoprotein particle (Ro RNP), in association with Ro60 and La proteins. The record is from Rfam by way of RNAcentral. Lineage: Eukaryota; Metazoa; Chordata; Mammalia; Primates; Lemuridae.